Molecule: microRNA precursor, 100 nt
Organism: Callithrix jacchus (white-tufted-ear marmoset)
Lineage: Eukaryota; Metazoa; Chordata; Mammalia; Primates; Cebidae
Source: Ensembl
CUUCAAAGUGGCAGACUGGAAAAUCUCUGCAGGCAAAUGUGAUGUCACUGAAGAAAUCACACAGUUACCCGCAGAGAUUCUACAGUCUGACACCUUCAAG